UGUUUAAAGUGGCGAACGGCUGAGUAACACGUGGGCAACCUGCCCUUUGCACUGGGAUAGCCUCGGGAAACCGAGGUUAAUACCGGAUACUCCAUAUUUGUCGCAUGGCGAAUAUGGGAAAGCUCCGGCGGCAAAGGAUGGGCCCGCGGCCUGUUAGCUAGUUGGUGGGGUAGUGGCCUACCAAGGCAAUGAUGGGUAGCCGGGUUGAGAGACCGACCGGCCAGAUUGGGACUGAGACACGGCCCAGACUCCUACGGGAGGCAGCAGGG
Molecule: ribosomal RNA, 269 nt
Filed under: uncultured Atopobium sp.
Lineage: Bacteria; Bacillati; Actinomycetota; Coriobacteriia; Coriobacteriales; Atopobiaceae
Description: partial 16S ribosomal RNA
Rfam family: Bacterial small subunit ribosomal RNA
Source: RNAcentral